Long non-coding RNA from Struthio camelus australis, 346 nucleotides. RefSeq lists it as uncharacterized. NCBI's taxonomy places the organism in Eukaryota, Metazoa, Chordata, Aves, Struthioniformes, Struthionidae. The record is from RefSeq and is a predicted model, not a curated record.
UUGGCACCUGGAGCAUUACGUGCUUUGGUGGACAGUAAUGACUCAGCCAGGCAAGGGAGUACGUGCUCCUCGCAGCCUGGCAGCCCCACAGGCGGAAAGAUGAAGCAGAGGGUGGUACAGAUGGGAACAUUCUGCCUUCCUGAGGACUGGAUCGAAAUGGGAGGAAAAAGUUGCUCCUUACAGCGUUGCUCGUCUUCCCACUGCGCUCCACAACAUCUCCUCCAGAAACAGCAGUUUUGAGAAGGGGGGAACAGCUCUCUGUGAGAUCACCUUUACGUUACUCUUUGGAGCCCAGGACACAAAGGUAACAGUUCUGCGAGCUGUCUUGAUGGGAGCUGUAUCACUG